Molecule: long non-coding RNA, 831 nt
Organism: Hyla sarda
Lineage: Eukaryota; Metazoa; Chordata; Amphibia; Anura; Hylidae
Exons: 3
Source: RefSeq, a predicted model, not a curated record
UGACAUCCCCAGCUCCAGACACCUGCUCCAGCGUUUGAAACAGUACAGCGGCGUACCCCUUUAAGAUCUUUCUUUACGUGUCCAACUUCAGAAAAGUGUUUGGACACGGUGACAGGUAGCCUUCAGGACAGUUUCCCAGCAGCAGCGAGGCGCCUGUGUCUUCAGAAGACUAUAACAUUGAUGGCAGGCGUAACACAACAUCAGAAGAAAGCUCAGCCGGCCAGUCCAUGUCUCACUUCUUUUUCCUCCAUCUCUGAAGAAGGCUGGGAGGGAAAAGUGGGACAACUCCUUCCCUUAAAACUGGGUACUGCCAGGAAGUGUUCAAGUUUAUGAGAGAAGACCAGCUGGUGGGACUCAAGCCCAAAUCGUGGAAACCAAAGACUGUCCACACGCUCAUCCAAGCAAAAGGAUUGGAAUCUAUUCAAGGGCUCCUUACACAGCUGAGACUGUUAAAAUCUGUGGCUUUUUGCAGGCUUAUUAACAGGCGCAAAGACCCAUCAUGGAUAACUAUUUAGGAGGGCCUGUCACUGAGAACUUUUUAUGCAUGCCCCUGAACUUUGCAACACCAGGUACUGCCGAGGUGCCCACUCAUUGAGGAAACAACUUUGCCGUUUUUGACAGUGCCUGUUUGCCUAUGCCCUGUUGGAUGUCCUGGAAUAUGGAAUAACUCAGAGACCAGCUGUAGCCUAUCACAUUACUUUGGCUGGACCGCAGCUUGCUCACACACUUUUCAUUUACAGACAGUCUGGAUGUUUAGGAAGAAGAGUACUGAUAUCCGUCUCCUUCGCCCCUGUGUAUCUGUCCUUCAAUAAAGCUUCAGGCCUGCGAUUA